Molecule: ribosomal RNA, 253 nt
Filed under: uncultured bacterium
Lineage: Bacteria
Description: partial 16S ribosomal RNA
Rfam family: Bacterial small subunit ribosomal RNA
Source: RNAcentral
UACGGGGGGGGCAAGCGUUGUUCGGAAUUACUGGGCGUAAAGGGUUUGUAGGUGGCUUGCUAAGUCAGACGUGAAAUCCCUCAGCUUAACUGGGGAACUGCGUCUGAGACUGGCAGGCUUGAGUGCAGGAGAGGAACGCGGAAUUCCAGGUGUAGCGGUGAAAUGCGUAGAUAUCUGGAGGAACACCGGUGGCGAAGGCGGCGUUCUGGACAGUUCCUGACACUGAGGCACGAAGGCCAGGGGAGCAAACGGG